CUCCCUCCCUCUCUCUGCCUCUGUUCUGCCACCUUCUCUACUCGGCGAUCAGCGUUUUUUGGCUUUUUCCAUUUGUGGAAGAUUACUGUAACGCUAUUGUACGACAACUUCCUGCCUCUUUUGGCUCUGGUGCUCAAAAACUGCAAAGGCACAGGCUCGCAGCACUUACUUUUUUCCCCCCUUCGGCCUUGAACUGCAGGAGCUCUGUGAGGAAGUAAGAGGAGGAAGGGGAUAUGUAAAGUGUAUCUGUCACUGAGGAGCUAUUUUGAUUGCAUUUCUGCUUUAAAAAAAAAAAACGGCAGAGAAUUAAAGAGGGCGAGAGGGGACCACAUGCCUAGCAGACACAAUGAGAGGGAGAGAGAAAAAAGCUUUAUUCCUACAGCCACAGGAAGCAGUGAGGAGCGCUGGAGGAAUAUGAAAUUGCAGUGGGCAGGGGCUCGGCAAAGACAAACAAUAUUUGUCAUCUGCAAACAUCAAGGACGCUUUAGGAGGAUUCUGAAGGAAGAAGAGACAGACAAGAGCGACGUAGAACUCCUCCUGAGAACAAGCGGGAAAUUAUAGACCACUUCGAUAUCACACCUCGGAGUGGACGACCUAUCCGAAGAGGGACGCGCCCUGACUGUAAUUAACAACUACUUCUGGCAGCUCCUCAACAGACAAACAUAUUGUCCCGAAUCAGGGCAGCUUUCGUAUGACAACAUCCAACCAAGGCAGUUAUGGCAAGAAAUACAGACUAAAGAUGAAUGAAAUCCAAAUGUUGAUACCAAGGCAUUAAAAGAAAAUGAAUGUAUGUACUUAUAUAUAUAUAUAUUUUUUUAUAUUUUUAGAUAUAAACUGAUCUCCCUUCAUUUUGCUCAUCAAACUUCAACAAAAUGUGGGAAAGAGAUUACGUUUGGAUUUUCGCACCAAAUCAUUUUUUCAACUGAAACAUAUUUUGUGAAUGUUUCCACACAACAUUGGUCCUGUGAUAUUAAAAUACCAAAGUAAAACACUGAUUCAAGUAGUAGAAACCCUGAAGUAGUUUUUUAGUUUUUAUAUUAAUAGUAUUAUAGCACUAGUAAGCACAAGAGUGUUAAUAAUGUUAAAAAAUUCAAAUAAUAAUUAAAUAUCCCCCUUUAAUGGCAUUACUCUUUACUCAUUGUAAUAUUUAAGUUAUUCUGGUAACUACAAGAGGCAUUUCAGUGAAAUAAAAAAAUAACUUGUACUCCUUGUUGUAUUAUAUUACUUAUUACCUUAUAUUACUUGUAUUAUUAUUAUGUGGUGUUAAUGUGCUAUAAGUUAACUGAGGACCUGGGGCAAAUUCUCAAAAAGAGUCAAAGAUGCAUUACAAUAAACGUAACAUUCUCCUUUUCUGUCCAUGUGACCAUCCUGUGCCAGGCUUGUUCAUACCUGAACUCUUGCUUUUCAGCUUCCCACUGAAGGCUGCUUCUACCCAUUGUAUUGUUGUGGCCAUCUUGUUUUAUUCCUCCUCUACAUUAAGCCAGGAGAGCACAGGCCCUGGCAUUUUAGGGGCCGUGUCAAAACGCCUGUGUCUGCACCGCAGGGCUGCGCGGAGUCCAACAGUCGAGCCAUACGCACUCAGCGGUUCACUGCCUCGACAAACACUUUGUGCAUGCUGCUUUGUUUUCUCACACAUACUCUCUAGAUUCCUUUCUCCCCUGAAAAACAGCAAAACAUGCAGCUUAUACACUUUAUCCAUUCCAUAAACAUGCUUUCCCCCUGGUGCCCGACCCAGAGCCACUGAGCCCUCAGCCCCCGAAUCACUUCACAGCACUUUGUCUCUCGUGAUCACCACAGAAAACUAAAAAGCUUUGAUCACACACAGUGAGGCUGGAAAUACUAUGGAUACUCAUCCAAUUCCCACUUCACCGAUGCAAUUUAAUGAGCUUUAUAAUUGCUUCUAACUUAAUGCAUGGAUAAAAAAAUAUCUGUGGCAUCCCUUAAAAGAGGAACAGUCCUGAUAUUGAUUUGAAAGUGACGAGGUUAAAAACUCUGAUUACCUAACUUUUAAUUGGCUGACGGACUGUAAUUGAUCUGCAUAAUGUUAUUAGCAGAGGGAUAUUUAUCUAUGUGGGAGAGAAGCAGCGCUUCACAGGACAGCUGCGUAAACAGAGGUUUUAUUACUCCAUGGGUUAUUUCUGCACAUUUAGUGGCUCUUUGCAAUUCAAGUAAAAUAUUAUUUUUUUUGUGCAGCAAAAUAAUGUGUUGAAGACACGCACCAAAUUUUAAAGAAAACAGACACAGUGCCAACACUGCAGGUCUAAAAAUGUACAUUGCACAUAUUCCUUAUUUGACCAUAUUUAUUAGUUCUCUCCUGUACUCCACUAAGUGCUACCUGCCACCUGCCUGUUGGCUCUGUUUUGCUUUAUCACCUCUGGAAAAUGUGCAAUAACUUACACAUAUACAGUAUACACUCAUUUUGGUUUUACACUUGAUUCCUGUAUAUAAUGUUACAUUAUUGUAUUUGACUUUUAUAUUGAGAUUUGUUUUUAUGGAGCUCUUUUUACUGAAUUUUAUUUAAAUUUAAUUUCUACUCUUGGUGCAUUGUCCAACACUAUUCAUUGUACUGUUGACCCUGUGUAUAAGAGAAAUACAACUUGACACUUAAUUUAUAUAUAUAUAUAUAUAUUUUAGAGUCUGUAAGUUACUGAAAGUAAUUUUCAUCUGAGGCCAA
Long non-coding RNA from Hippoglossus stenolepis (Pacific halibut), 2674 nucleotides. RefSeq lists it as uncharacterized. NCBI's taxonomy places the organism in Eukaryota, Metazoa, Chordata, Actinopteri, Pleuronectiformes, Pleuronectidae. The transcript is spliced from 3 exons. The record is from RefSeq and is a predicted model, not a curated record.